UGCCAGCAGCCGCGGUAAUACGGAGGGUCCAAGCGUUGUCCGGAAUCACUGGGUGUAAAGGGUGCGCAGGCGGGCUUGUAAGUCAGAGGUGAAAUCCCACGGCCUAACCGUGGAACUGCCUUUGAUACUGCAAGUCUUGAGUCCUGGAGGGGCUAUCGGAAUUCGUGGUGUAGCGGUGAAAUGCGUAGAUAUCACGAGGAACACCGGAGGUGUAGACGGAUAGCUGGACAGGUACUGACGCUGAGGCACGAAAGCGUGGGGAGCGAACAGGAUUAGAUA
This 279-nucleotide ribosomal RNA is filed under the name uncultured bacterium. RNAcentral describes it as "partial 16S ribosomal RNA". It matches the Rfam family "Bacterial small subunit ribosomal RNA", at positions 506 to 784 of the family's 1533-position model. The record is from RNAcentral.